RNAcentral lists this unclassified non-coding RNA (387 nucleotides) under soil metagenome. RNAcentral describes it as "partial contains 5.8S ribosomal RNA, internal transcribed spacer 2, and large subunit ribosomal RNA". The stretch from base 1 to 122 matches the Rfam family "5.8S ribosomal RNA", at positions 35 to 154 of the family's 154-position model. The record is from RNAcentral.
GAUGAAGAACGUAGCGAAAUGCGAUAAGUAAUGUGAAUUGCAGAAUUCAGUGAAUCAUCGAAUCUUUGAACGCACCUUGCACCCUUUGGACUGCUCCAAAGGGUAUGCUCGUUUGAGUGUCAUUGUACUCUCACACUCUCUGAUCCUUUGGAUUUGGGGAGCAGUGGACUUGGGUGCUUGCUGCUUCCUUGUGGCUCACCUGAAAUGCAUCAGUGCAUCUCUCGAUUGGACAUAGUACGGCGUGAUAAGUGUCUUCGCCGGCGCCUCAUUCGAGGGUGGCCGAUCGGGAGCUCUGUGCUUCAAACUGUCUUCGGACAACAUCUGACAACUUGACCUCAAAUCGAGUAGGACUACCCGCUGAACUUAAGCAUAUCAAUAAGCGGAGGA